UCCCAGACUCCUACGGGAGGCAGCAGUGAGGAAUAUUGGUCAAUGGCCGGAAGGCUGAACCAGCCAUGCCGCGUGAAGGUCAGUGCCCUAUGGGCGUUAAACUUCUUUUGUGCGGGAGCAAUAAUGGUCACGUGUGGCCAGACGAGAGUACCGUACGAAUAAGCAUCGGCUAACUCCGUGCCAGCAGCCGCGGUAAUACGGAGGAUCCGAGCGCUAUCCGGAUUCAUUGGGUUUAAAGGGUGCGUAGGUUGUUUUAGAAGUUAGCGGUGAAAUACCGAUGGUCAACAUCGGGGCUGCCGCUAAUACUGUAGGACUAGAGAUCGGAUGCAGCAGGCGGAAUGUGUAGUGUAGCGGUGAAAUGCAUAGAUAUUACACAGAACACCGAUUGCGAAGGCAGCUUGCUAGGCCGGAUCUGACACUGAUGCACGAAAGCGUGGGGAUCGAACAGGAUUAGAUACCCCCGUAA
This 466-nucleotide ribosomal RNA is filed under the name uncultured bacterium. RNAcentral's name for it is "bacterial SSU rRNA". It matches the Rfam family "Bacterial small subunit ribosomal RNA", at positions 329 to 793 of the family's 1533-position model. The record is from RNAcentral.